RNAcentral lists this ribosomal RNA (283 nucleotides) under uncultured Prevotella sp. RNAcentral's name for it is "partial 16S ribosomal RNA". It matches the Rfam family "Bacterial small subunit ribosomal RNA", at positions 355 to 635 of the family's 1533-position model. The record is from RNAcentral. Lineage: Bacteria; Pseudomonadati; Bacteroidota; Bacteroidia; Bacteroidales; Prevotellaceae.
UGAGGAAUAUUGGUCAAUGGGCGAGAGCCUGAACCAGCCAAGUAGCGCGCAGGAUGACGGCCCUAUGGGUUGUAAACUGCUUUUGUAAGGGAACAAAGUGCGGGACGCGUCCCGUUUUGCGUGUACCUUACGAAUAAGGACCGGCUAAUUCCGUGCCAGCAGCCGCGGUAAUACGGAAGGUCCGGGCGUUAUCCGGAUUUAUUGGGUUUAAAGGGAGCGUAGGCCGAAGGUUAAGCGUGUUGUGAAAUGUAGUCGCUCAACGGGUGCACUGCAGCGCGAACCG